AGAGUUUGAUCCUGGCUCAGGAUGAACGCUGGCGGCGUGCUUAACACAUGCAAGUCGAACGAUGAAGCCUAGCUUGCUGGGUGGAUUAGUGGCGAACGGGUGAGUAACACGUGAGCAACCUGCCCCUGACUCUGGGAUAAGCGCUGGAAACGGUGUCUAAUACUGGAUAUGAACUUGAACCGCAUGGUUACUUGUUGGAAAGAUUUUUCGGUUGGGGAUGGGCUCGCGGCCUAUCAGCUUGUUGGUGAGGUAAUGGCUCACCAAGGCGACGAUCAGUAGCCGGCCUGAGAGGGCGGACGGCCACACUGGGACUGAGACACGGCCCAGAACUCCUACGGGAGGCAGCAGUGGGGAAUUGUUCGCAAUGGGCGCAAGCCUGACGACGCAACGCCGCGUGGAGGAUGAAGGUCUUCGGAUUGUAAACUCCUGCCGACCGGAAAGAAUGGGGCUCCGAGCUAAUACAUCGGAGCAAUGACGGUACCGGUUGAGGAAGCCACGGCUAACUCUGUGCCAGCAGCCGCGGUUAU
RNAcentral lists this ribosomal RNA (527 nucleotides) under uncultured Actinomycetes bacterium. Its description in RNAcentral is "bacterial SSU rRNA". It matches the Rfam family "Bacterial small subunit ribosomal RNA", at positions 8 to 524 of the family's 1533-position model. RNAcentral also lists the same sequence under 1 other name. Lineage: Bacteria; Bacillati; Actinomycetota; Actinomycetes. The record is from RNAcentral.